Molecule: long non-coding RNA, 323 nt
Filed under: Triticum aestivum (bread wheat)
Lineage: Eukaryota; Viridiplantae; Streptophyta; Magnoliopsida; Poales; Poaceae
Description: long non-coding RNA (TAES_LNC004866)
Source: RNAcentral
UGAAGUAGCGCAGCGCCUGGCAUCGGCACUGCUGCGGAAUGUUUGCAAGCUGCUCACAGCACUCCUGCUUGGCGAGGUACGGCGGCCCGGGCAUUUCGAUACGACAUGCUUGUUCUUCCACAUAGUUACGGCAGCUUGGGAGUGGAGUGAUCAGAGUACUCGUCCAUGGGGUGCAAUCUUCAUUGCCGACGGCGGCAACGGCGGCAAAGAUGAAGACUAGGAGGGCCGCGAAGAGGAGAUUGUAGUUGGACUUGGACGCCAUAUUUUUGGAUGGAGGCCAAGUUCGUUGGUGUGGUUUUUUCUUUUGCACUGCACUGGUGGGU